AUUCUCACUGGGAUGCCACAGCUCUGGAGACUUCUUAUAGAUGUUGUUUGGAACACUCCAGGCUUGGAGAUGGGCCUUUAGACACUGCCUGUAGUACUGCUUAGCAACAGCUCUACAGACAUAAAGAGAUUGCAGUGGCUGCUCCUUCCUGGCUCCACCAUUCAGCAAGAGCUCCACAGGUAAUCUGAUGACCAUGAUUGUAGCAAUAAGGCUCUAUGGCUUAGAGUCUUGGCUCUGGAGCACUUUAAAAGAUAGAGUCAGAAUUUAGUUGUUUGGGCUCAAAUAAAAUUUGACUUUCCAGAGUACUGAAAAUAAAAGAAAAUGUUUAUUUCUAGUAUUUUUAUUGUAAAGUGGUAAAAACUGUCUCAAGAUAGUUGUAGGUGCUGAAGUGAUCAAGGAAGUAACUAGUUAUAAGCAGAUUAUAAAAAACUAAACCUAUGGUAGCCAACCUUUGAUUCUCUGUAUCUCAAAGUGACCUCUCUCUGAGGACAUUAAUUUGAAUCUUCCUCUGGUGUGAUGAAAAAAGAAAUUCUUAUUUUCAUUUUGCUUUGUAAGGAAUUUCUUUACCCUUUCCUAUGCUUAUCAGCAUAUCGUUUUCAAAAUCAGCUUAGCAGACCGACUGUGACCUUCCAAUUGAAAUGAAACAUCUUCCUUUUUAUCAACCGAAGAAUUUUCAUUGGUUCAUACCGGAUGACUCACUUUACAGUAAAUUCCAAGUCUGUGGCCAGAAAAUUUGUGAGUCUGAGUCAGAUAGACAAGAACCUUAAUAAAACAGGAGCCAAUGGCCCUGGCAUUCCGCUCAGCAGUGCCUUGAAAACACAGGCACUAAUAAACUGCUUUGUGAAUUGUCUUUCUGGGAAUAUCUGUAUGUUGCAGAAGGCUCGUUCUCCCUGCAGAAGCCUCUAUGCUCUCCUGUGAGAGGGCUGGGAAGCAGGACUUGCUGUGCUCUUGUUCUUUAAUCACUUGUGAGGCAACACAGGGUAAUAUUAUUGUAUCAUCUGGCCAGCUGACAGGAAGAGAUUAAAAAUUAUUUCAACAGCAAUACAUUGAAACUCCAAAGUAGUCCAGGGCAUUGCGGUGACCUUCAACGAACCCUUGCUAUAUGACUCAGAAGCAAGAUGCAGCCAAGUUGGGGCCAAGAUGGAUUUUGAGAAAAGGCAAAUUCUGACUUUUCUGCCUCACUGGAUUCAGCAUCUCCUGCUUACCCAGAGCUGUCUGAAACAGCACGAGAAACUAGCGGAGUCUCAUAAAGUGUGUUACUAAAAAAGCUUAGAGGACAUUUAUUUUAAAUGAGAAGAAUUACUGCUCAUGGUGGUUUAAAAUCCUAAUGGUCACUGUGGGUCUCCUCUGAAUACCAAAUCUCCUUGUUGAGCACUUGCUGUGUGCUUCUCGACAAAAAUGGAAACCCGAGUCAAAAGGAUAGCCUUGAAGUCUCUUUCCUCCUUUGUCCCCUCCACGUGGCAGAGCGUAUUUUUGUAGUUUGAGAUCAAGUCUGCCAGCUUGCAUUAGCAUAUCAUCCGCCUGGUUACCAAGAAAAUGUGCCUGAAGAAGAAAAACAAGAGCGUGUUCGCGGUCAUUAGGCUCACAUCAUGAGCAUGAAUCAGCAGUUUGGAAUUUGCGAGGCUGGGGCUGAAGUAGGCUGGGGAGCCAGCAGAGCCAGCAGAGUGGGCAGGAGAACUCCAGGCUGCCUGACUGCCCCUUGCCUCCUCCUCAAGUGCAGCGCAGCCACCCCUGGUUAAGGAAAAGGCUGAGAGACCCAUGACGCAAGGAUGUCCUAAUCCCUGCAUGUCUGCGUUUUCCUGACUUCUUUAACAAAUGUUGACCAUCUGUAAAGGCAAAAAACGCCUUUGAUAGUAGUUAUAUAUGAAUCUUUGUAUUUGAAAGAAACAGAAAUUAAUGCAAAAAAAUUAAUUUACUCUGAUUUGCUUUGGACAUUUUCUAUCAUUGGUGUUUGAAAGCAAUACUAGUAUGCAGAUACUAGUGUGGCUGAUUUAUGCCAUGCACAAUAAAUAUACAAGAGAUGAAAGAUAAUUUUAAACUCCUGUAAUGCUAGCAGUAAUGUAGAUAAUUGACAAUCUGUCUUUUCGCUCCUACACCUCGUGUGCAUAAAACAAUGCCCACCUUGCAAUAAACACUCAGGAAAUGAUUAAUAAAUUAAGUCUGUCU
Molecule: long non-coding RNA, 2166 nt
Filed under: Homo sapiens (human)
Lineage: Eukaryota; Metazoa; Chordata; Mammalia; Primates; Hominidae
Description: non-protein coding STXBP5-AS1:33
Source: RNAcentral